GUUCUCCACAUUCCUUGCCCAUCAGACUAAACACUGAUCUGAGUGGUUAUAAAAGGAGGAAAAGUUAAAUAGAAACUGACUUAAAUUGUUUUAUGACACACAAGCUAGUUUCAAAUACAA
Molecule: small nucleolar RNA, 120 nt
Organism: Echinops telfairi (small Madagascar hedgehog)
Lineage: Eukaryota; Metazoa; Chordata; Mammalia; Afrosoricida; Tenrecidae
Product: small nucleolar RNA SNORA61
Exons: 1
Source: RefSeq, a predicted model, not a curated record